RNAcentral lists this long non-coding RNA (10237 nucleotides) under Olea europaea subsp. europaea. The record is from RNAcentral. Lineage: Eukaryota; Viridiplantae; Streptophyta; Magnoliopsida; Lamiales; Oleaceae.
AUAAACAUGAAGAGUCCAACUUGCAAAGCCAACUCAUAUUCCCACUAAAACACCAUCUCUUAGGAUAUAGUAGUUAUAUAUAAAUAUCUAUACCUAUUGAUCUCACCAUCAACUUCCUCUCUGGCGGCGGCGGUGGUGCUGUGGUGUCGACGCAUUACAAUCAAAUAAUCCCUUUGGCCGCAAAUCAUAACUGUCAAACAAAACAAAAGAGAUGGCGCCGCCGGCAGCAGGUGGUGCUGAAGUUGCUGCUGGAGGUAGGCAGCAGCAAGGAGUUGGUAAGAUGCUUACUGGAAUAAUUAGGGUGGCAGUUUUCUGGUACUUCGCUUCCAAAUUCUUCAGUCCGAAGCGAUCUCCCACCGAGCCAUCUCAACAGAUCUCCAAUCUCUUUCAAAGAGGCGAACCUUUGGUCUCUCUUUAAUUCUACAUCUGUAUAUAUGUUUAUACAAGUCUGUGUGUGUGUUACAAAUUGAAAUACAUAAUGUCAAACUAUGUAAAUAUCAGAACUCUGGAUAAUUGAGUGCCGACGAGGAAAUAAAUCCAAAUAAUUGAUUUGCAUGGGAUACAUGAUGAUAUUUUUGUGUGUAAUAUAUUAUAUAUGCUUGCAUGAACACAGAUUAACACAUAUCAUAAUUAUGUUGUAGUUGUCUAGGUGAAAUUUAAAUUAAUAUCUACAUUAUAGUUCUACCGAAACAGUGACUACUCUAUGUUCCUAGUUUGGUCUAUUAGGCGUGUUUCUCCUGGUAGGAUACAAUUCAGAGAAUUAAUUGACGAUGUUGAAAGUAGAAAUUCACAUAUUCACUAUCAUUUAUGUAAAUUUGAUUACAAAAGGUUUAGUGCAAUGGUGUUAUUACAAGGGUGGAAUCUUUAAUCAAACUGUUAGACAGGCAUCAUAAUGAAAUGAGGUUGUUAAGAAGUAAAAUGCUUCACAAUAUAUUGAUUAUAGAUAUCUUGUGGACUUGAAGUUAGUUAGAAGAAUUGACCUUUUGACAGACUAGAAUUUUUGAAACAUUUUGGAAUGGAGUUCUUGAACAAUGCGAACUCUGAAUCAUAUUGCUCUAAAGGCUGGAACUCAAAGAUCUUGAAAAGUGGCAUUGCUGCUUCCGACAAAUAGGUUUUUUUUUUUUUUUUUUUUAUUGAAGUUUUCACCAUACUUCGAAUGUUUGAUUAGCAAACUGAGACUGUUUAGAGUAAAUAAUUCUUAGUCAUGUUAUUAAAAAUUGCUGAAUCUGUGGGCCUUGAAAGUAGGGUUGUUCAAGGUGUGUUGGUGUUCGAAACAGGGAAUUUUCAUUCAACCUGUUGUAGAGACCACCGGUUUCAAAUGUUCUAUGAAUCGGUGAAGAGGCUCAUUUAGCAGUUUUUAGUGUCAAUGCUUAGUGAUUGUGAAUAGGCUUGUUUAGCAGUUUUCAGAAACAUUGUUAACCAAGAGAAACUGUCAAACAAACUGUUUGGCAGUCUUAACUUUUUUGAAGUAUUCUGUGGAAUAUGGUUGUGUAGAUGAUUUUGUGACCAAAUUAUUAAAAAUACUGGAGCUGAAAGGAUCAGAGAUUCCAUGGCCUUUGAAGGGUGAUAUUGCAUUAGAAAGAAUAAUGUUUGAUUAAUUUGUUCACUUUUGAUUCCUGCAGGCUGCAACUAAAUGACAAUAGAAUGAAUUAAUGGUUUACGGCUUAGUUUAAGAAUUCAGAACUAUUAGCUGGCAUUUAACAAAUAGGAACUGUCAAUUUAACUUUUCAAUAUAAAUGUGCUUGGUCAAGUGUUUACAAGUCCUUGAGGAGUGCAAGGGCUGUUGUUCUAAUUCAUGUGGAGAAAUUGGAUUUGAUUGUGACUCAUGAGGUGAUAUCAGAUGAGAGACAAGUGGGCAUUAACUGACUCUUAAAAGGACCUGAAAGUUUUGGACUGGCAAGCAUCAUAUUGAGAUACUGUCCCGCAAUUAAGCUAGAAUUGUCAUUAUAGGAUUAUUCAUUGAAGCUCAUUUGGAUCGAUUCACAUGGGAUUUAGUAAGUGUUGCCUGGUCUUCUUUUGGAUUAUCCAAAACCAAAAUAAGAGAUUCAUAGUUGUAAUGUGAUUUUUCCAUAUCACCCAAUUUUGUCUAGUAUCUCAUAUUAUGGAACUUUACAUAGUAGUAUGGUUUUACCCUUUCUAGGAAGUUGAUGAAUAAUAGCAUUAUUUUGAAUCGGUUGAAUUGGAUCAGUAUUUCCUCCAAAUGAAUCUGUUAGAGUAUAUAAUGAGUUGCUAGUAACACAAACCAAGAGAAUUUGGUCCCUAAUUUUGGCUCAGAUUUUGGCUUUAAACUCACUACCUCAUGACAUAGGCAUGCUGCUUAGUGUGUGUUUCAGAGUUGAUAUUUUGACUUUUUGAUAACUACCUUACAUCCAAUCUCAUGAUCUCUGGAAUCUUGGUCUGGCCUAUUUACUGGGGAAAGGAAGGGAUAGACAAUGUUUGGGACUUGGGAAGUCGAAGCUUGUGCUGUAGAUGAGAAGCGUAAAGGAAUAUUAAAAAUAGCUACUCCCUUUACUGAACUUUUGUUUUUAGACAUCUGACAUUACAUAUUGUUUCACUUUGGUGUAAGUAUGACAAUUUCUUCAGUUUAUCCCUGUAAUUGCCCUCGAAAUGAAGUUGCGGCUAUUUCUUUCCAGGAUAUGUGGUUAUACCUUUCGGAAAAGGAAAAUUUUAUUGAUUUUGGUGGAUCUCCUGUUUGGCACGAGACAAAUAUACCUUAUGCAGUUUGGAACCCGAAGAGCACCAGAACUUUAUCAUUGAAGUAUCAUCCUUCUGAGGUAUUAUUUAUUAGAGAAUAUGGUGCUAAUGAUGCAUUUUUAUUUCAGCUUCUCACUUCACAAUUAUGAAUACUUGUGUUCUGGAAUUCCCCUGGAAGAUGAUGAAAUUGGUUUUCAUAAUUCAUUCUCUAUGCAUUGGUAUCUAUUAAAUGUCAUUUUUGACUUGAAUCUCAGGCUCUAAAGCGCAAUGGGAGUCUUUAUGCUCAUGUUUUCUUUGCACGUUCUGGCUACCCACCAGAUCCCAACUAUCCCGAGUACGAGCCAUACACUGCUUUUGGGCGGACCUACUGUAAGAUCAUGGUUACAUUUUAAGUUUUCAGUUAUCUUUUUACAGUUUAGAAUGAGACAUUAUUGGUGUAUAAAAUGUAAUAAGAUCUUCUUGUCUAUAGCUGUUGUAACAUAUUUGCCCAGGUCGAAAGCUGACAAAAAGAAGAGUCUGUUGGGCGACUCAGAUGACUCCACUGAUGGUGAAAAUGUGUCUGAGGUAUUCAUCUUUAGAUAAUAUUAACUUACUCUUUACCCAUUCAUCCUCAGCAAUGCAGUUAAAUUGCUUGAUUCUUCAUUUCCUUUUUUCUAUCUGAUUUGAUUAUUGAGCUUUCUAGAUGUUAGAAAUGCCAUCUUAUUGAAGUUGAGAUUUUCUCUCUGUCCAAGAUUUUGUGAAGGCCAGGCAUGAUUAAGAAACAUUAACUGUUGAUUCAGGUUGUUGGCGAUGCUCAAGUUGAUAACAAGGAGGACAGACCAGUUGAAUGGAUUGCAUAUUGGAAACCAAACAUGACAAUAAAUUUAGUUGAUGAUUUCACGAGGUAUACUUGUCUUAACAUCCGUUUCUGAAAUGUUUAUAAACCGUCAAGCUAGUAGUUAUAAUGUAGCUGCAACACGUUUGAAUAGUUUCUUGUGCUACAAGAGAGAGCAAGCCAAUUCUUAUUUCCAAUAAAUUUAGCAUCAGCUACAUAGGUCCUUUUUCGCACUCGCCAUUCCAUCUAUUUGGACGAUCCAGUGCAAUGAAAUCAAUCCUAUGCAAUGUCAAGUCAUUUUAUUUUUUAUCUAACUCUCCCUCUUGCUACCUGUUCUAGUGACAAUUGCAUGACCAAUUUCUUCAAUGGGGUACCUUUAUUCAACGUGAAACAUAGCCUGCAAUUAGCCAUAUCCCUUUUUUUGUUAUCGACCAUGAUCUGUACCCCAUCAUACUUUCAUUUUAUCCAUUUAGAAUAACUACAAAUUCCUUUUCACAUCUUCAUUUUUUCUCCAUUAUCUGAUGGGCAUAUUUUCCAUUGAAAGACCCAAACUCCUCAGUACCAUAAGUGUAAUGUCUAUUAAUUGUUAUAUGGAAAUGGGCUUUUUAUCCUGUAGGGAUCUUCAUAUCCACACAAUUCCUGUAGUACUCUCCAUCCUAUAUAUUACAUUAUCAUCAAAUUCCUCAUUGUUAUAAUCGAACUAAAUAUCUAUAACAAACACUUUUUGAGAAAAAGAUAUCCCAUGUGGUAACUCCAAUAUUAUCCUCAUUCCUACAAUUACUAAGAUGUCGCUGUCUGGAUUCUGCAUAAUUUAAAUAGCACAUGGAUGUAGUUGGUUUUUUGCUAAUUAAUAACUUUAACUGCCACCGCCAGCAGAAUAGUUAAAAAUGUCAACCGGAAUGUUUCAGUUUCUCAUAUGGCAGCAUGAUGGCUGAGGGCAAUCUGAUUUUGGAGUCUUUUCUGCAAAUUAGUUGUGAGGAUUUUGCCAUAUCUUGAUGCAUUGCUUGCCAAUGCGAAUUGAAAAUUCCCCUUAGUCCCUUUUAAAAAGCUCCUUCCAUGGGUAGCAAAGUCACUUGGGGUUUACAAAAAAAUCAAUUUAAUAUUCCUAAUUAAUAGAACCAGGAAAAUUAGAAAUGAUAUAAUUUAUUUUAGGUUUUUUCCAAGUUAAUGAUAACUAAUUGACCUUUUUUUCCAUUGUUAUGUCUUUCAUAUCUCUAAUUGAUAUGGAUUUACAAUAGAUGUGCUUGUUUUGGGAUUUUUUUACAGAUAUUCUGCCAAUGCAGUUCCACCAAAUAUUGCUCCUUGUAUCCUUGAAUUCUCAUAUUCAGUCUAAUUCACUCUUUAUUGUUUGCCUGAUUUCUGUAUUAAACAUUAUUUGUUGUUCUUGUGGAUGGUUGAGUUUGAUAUCUUCCUCCUUUUAUUAGGACUGUGCAAAGGCCUCGGUCUCAAUUUAUUUUGCUUCCUGUUUCUUCAAUAAUUUGCAAAAGUCUUAUUCCCAUCCCCCUCUAGAAACGUGGGACAAGAAGUUCAUGGUGGCCAUGCUAUAUUUUCCUCUUUUGGCCAAUUCACGGGAGUAUUGACUUGGCUAAAACUGAAAAUGAUAUGAUUCUCAUUUGGAUUAAUAUCUUGAUCAAAAUUAGAAUGAUAUUUUUGUUUCUUUCUAUUAGUUAGAAUAUGAUCGCAGAGAUGCAGGGAAUGUACUUGGUCACAUCUUCCUUUUCAAAUAACCUUAUCUUAGAUCAAUUUUGCGUACUAUGUGGAUUACCACAUCCACAAAUUUUUGUAUGCAUAUACCUUUUAUUUGGGUGCAACAUUGGUCCAUCUACUAGUGGAACAGAUAAAUCUUUUAAUGAUCAUUCAUGACUUCGGCUCUGUAGAGUUGUAGUCUGUCUGGAAAAUUGCAGCCUUUUUAUUAUGAUGUGUAUGCAGUUGAUGUUCUACUAUAUUUCUCAUAGGAAACCAUGUCAGUACUGAUUGUGGAAAACUUUUUUUGUUCUAGUAUUUGCAAUGUACAUUUGGUCAGAGUUAGUCAAUGUCCAGCUGUAUUUAUCUUCAAGCUACAGUGUCAAAAGUGUUCUGAUGUUCAAAUUCCUUGACUCGAAAUCUAAGACUUGAAUAUCGAGCCUAGCCAGCGAAGCUAUUAUCCAACUGUCUUCUUCAAUGAGUUUUGGUUACUUCGAGAUAAGUUAAUACCAAUCAACGAGACAGUGGAGGAGUUACCACUGCAUCUGGAAGUAGGUCCCAUAAGCAUGACCAAAUGGCAGCUAUUCCUGCAGAUGGAUCAAUCUUUCCAGAUCCACAGGACUUAUGGAAGCAUGCUGGAAGGCGAAGCUGAUGAACUUAAGGUAUUUAUUUAAUAUUAUCCUGCAGUAACUUGACAUGCAUAAGGGUUCGGAUGGGAUAACAUUCAGUAUCACGAGAUUCACCCUGUUGUUUAACACUGUAGACCUGCAGAUAACUAGAAGAAAUUUGGAAAUUUUGCUGAAAGCAAGUACUUUGGAAGGUUGCUUUGCAAGUGCAAAAGUUAAGGAAUCAAUUGAAAGAUAUAUGAUUGCAAUUCCAAAGGAAAAGAAGAAAAUGUAAAAUUAAGGCUAUUGAAGAGAAAAAAGUAACAACACGAUAAUAGUUAAUUAGCAUAGGACGGUUUACUUUCAUAUCCGGGAAUAUGUUUUAUGCUUUUAAGGAUCCUUCAAUAGAAUUUGGGUGGACCUUUGUUCAAGAUUCAUACUUGAGUACUAGACUGAUUAGGAGAUGAUGUUGUAAGAUCAUUCAACCAUACAUAUUAAUGCCUCUCUAGUCAUUUGAGUAAAAUAUUUAACAUAUUGUAAUUUGUAAGUUUUCACUGCAAUUUGUAGGCUGCUCUUUGUUUAGUGUGUGCGAUUUUAGUAAAUGUCAUAGGAUUCUAAUGUUAUGAAUGCUACUUCUUUCUUCUUUCUGCUUUCUGCAGUCAUUCUGCAUCUUUAUAUCUUAUGUGGGGUUUUGAUUCAUUUGAUUAUUUUCGCAGAGAGUCUUCCUGGAAGGGAAUCCAUACCUUCUGGCAGUAACAAUGGUUGUUUCAGUGCUACAUUCUGUAUUUGACUUCUUGGCUUUCAAGAAUGGUAAUGGCAAUGGUUGUAGUGUUUUUGGAUCUUACCAUGGAAUUGCUUUUUCUGCCAUAUGAAAAUACGAUAUUUCUGUGCAGAUAUUCAGUUUUGGAAUAAAAACAAGUCCAUGGAAGGACUGUCUGCAAAGUCAGUUAUCGUCAACUUUAUUUGUCAGCUUAUUGUCUUCCUCUAUCUUCUUGACAAUGAAACUUCAUGGAUGAUACUUGCAAGUUCUGGUAUUGGUUGCUGCAUUGAGUUCUGGAAAAUAGGAAAAGCCAUGCACAUUGAGGUAUAACUUCUACGAAUAAAGUUUCAUCUAGACUUCUACAUUUGAAACUUUGGAAAAGUUUAUUGACUUAAACAUUUAGCUCCUCUUUCAUAUUUGACUAACCUAAUACUAGUACCAUGACGCAAAUUGUUGAUAUUGUAAUAUUAUGUGGCUUGUGAAAGCAUUACUUGGUCAUCAAUUUCUUAACACUGCUUGUUAAUUAUUACAUAGAUUGAACUAGAAUUGCUAUAUUCAUCCGUUUCAUAUCGUCUUCUUGACCAGCUUGACAGUUCUGGUAAGAUACCAAUGUUGAGGUUCCGAGACCGGGAGUCAUAUGCUAAAAACAAGACGAAGGAAUAUGAUGAUCUUGCUAUGAAGUAUUUGUCAUACAUUCUUUUCUUGCUUGUUGCCUGUUUCUCUGUGUACUCCCUGAAGUAUGAACGCCACAGGAGUUGGUACUCUUGGAUUCUCUCAUCCCUUACUAGCUGUGUUUAUAUGUUCGGUAAGCAUCUCAGAUCUUGACAAUUUUAUUUUCCCUUUCUACUUUAUUCUCUCAAUUAAGACCUAACUUCUAUUCAUGUAAUUUUUUUUCCGGUUUUCGUGAAUGAGGAAAUCUUUAGAAUCCUCACGGUCCCCUACUUUCACUUCUCACCUCUCAUUGUACUUUUGUUGAUUACAUUGCAUUCUUUAUCAGGGAUUUGAAAUUUUGUUUCAUGCUGAUUUGCUUUUUACUAAGUGAUUAACUGUGUUAAAGUAAUUAUGGACCAAAGCAUGCAGUUUCUAUGAUAUAACUAAAUAAUUCAGGAAGGAAGAGAAAAAUAAUCUGUUGAAUCUACUAAUCGUUAGGCAAGAGAAAUUAAAUUGUCAUAAAGGAAUGAAGUGGAAAUUUAUCUGUUGAAUCAAAUAAAAAGUUGGGCAACAUGAGUGAAUUGAACUGCAUCUAUUUGCCUAAUAUUGGUUCUCUGGAGGGACCAUAACACAGUGCUAGUUAUGGGGUGGAAAAAUUAUAUUUUAACAAUGAGAUUGUUUGAAUUGUUCGUUUCCAGAUAGGAGGAAUCAACAAAACUUGUUAGAUUCCCAUAAGUUUCUUGCCUUUAUAGGGCUUAUGGUUUAUAAUUUUGUUCCUCUAUUCAGCUUGUAUAGUGGGGUUACCCCUUCCAUGUUGAAAAGAAACAAAUAAAGGAAUUUGCAUUGCAGACCAUAGAAUUUGAUUCAUCGUGAUUUUCAUCAGAGUCUUCUCAAUAGUCCAACAGCACUCUUUAAUACUAAUUGUUGGUAGAAUAUUGGAAAUAAUAUAAUUAUUUUUCAUUGAUUCUCUGCAGGUUUUAUUAUGAUGUGCCCUCAAUUGUUCAUCAAUUAUAAGCUGAAGUCUGUCGCGCAUUUACCUUGGAGGCAAAUGACAUACAAAUUUCUAAACACGAUCAUUGAUGAUCUCUUCGCAUUUGUAAUUAAAAUGCCAACACUGCAUCGGCUUUCUGUUUUCCGUGAUGGUGAGUUACUGAUCAAGACUUUGUAUGCCUUUAUUCCUGUGAUAUUUGGAUAAAAGGGCGUAUGCUGAAAUUUAGUAAUAGUAAUACAAAUACUGAUUGAUGGCACUAUUUAAAGUUUUAGCCUUUUAGGUCAACUUGUGAAUUCAAGCAUUUUACAUAAAAACAAGUUUUUAACUUGUAUAGCCAUUGUAACAUGGUAGGAAAACUCAUAAAGAGCCCACAUUUGAUAUGGACGUAAACGGCUGAAAAAGUUAAACACACACAUUUGAUAUGGAUGUUAAGGCUGAAAAAGUUAAACGUAGGAGUGUGUAAGAAUCUGAUGAGGUUUAAGUGUACAAGGCAGGGUAAUUUUAGCCCCUGUUUGACAACCAUUAAAAUGAGUUUUUUGUGGGAAAAAUGAGUUGAUUUUUUUUGGAGAAUGUGUGGUUAAAAAGAAGGAAAAAGUUUCUAUUUAUGUUCAGAACAUUUUAUCCCGAGAAUAUGUGAUUGAAAAUGAGUUUAAGAAAAAAAGAAUGUUGUUUUAAUGAUUAUCAAACGGGGGCUUAGUGUUAUUUGUACAGUAAUAUUAGAAUAAUUUUUGGGAUUGUGUUAGGUUUUAAGGACUUGAGAGAAGUUGACAGGUUUGAUAUUGAAGAGAGAAUCAUUUUCUAGAUUGACAACAAAUAAUGAGUCUAGUAAUAAUGGAAUUUCAGCAUUUUUUUGGCUAAGUACCUUUUAAGUACACUUUGAACCCCAUGCUUGAAUAUAUUCUAGACAUCCAUUUUCUUGUUCAAAUGAUGUUCCAAAUACAAUUUAAUGCUAUUGGCUAGAAUUGGUCCUUGCAAUCAACUAGUGAAUUUUAAUACUGCAAACUUAUCCCUUUUGGCUCAAAAAAGGGUGGCAAAAAUUACAGAUCUUAAUUGCUUCAUCAGCUCUCUCUUUUCUCCCUUUUUGACCCAAUGGUGGUAUCAGCAACGGAAUUUAGCUUAUGCCUUUGCUGAACACCAACUCUAUAAGUGUAACACAGUUACACAGGAAUACUGCUGAACCACAUGGCCUCGUGUUUGAAACCGGUGUAGGGAUGCUCUGAUAAGUUCUGUUCUGGUAUUAGGUCUUGAUUUUGAAAGGUAAUAUAAAAUUGAUAUGUCAAACUAUAUAUGGUAAUAAUCUUGAAGUCUAAUUAAUUAACAUCUUUAUAUCAUCACUAGUAUCUGUUUGGUGGUCUAAAUACAUCUAAUAUUCAUUGUUUAUAACAUGGUAUUCUUUCAGUUGGGGAUUCAGUUUUGCAUCUGCUAUUUUGGGUUUAUGUAUAUGACAUGUUUGUUAUCUCUUUGGCUUGCAGAUAUCAUAUUUUUGAUAUAUGUGUAUCAACGAUGGGUUUAUCCAGUGGACAAGAAAAGAGUAAACGAAUUUGGUUUCGCUGGGGAGGAUGAUCAUGCCUCUAGUAGUCCAGAUGCUAUAGAACAAAAGGAAGAUGAGAAGAAAACUAACUAAUCUUGUUUCAUUGAAACUUUUUGAUAUUUUAAUUGCAUAAAAAAAGAAGUAAAAUUAUGACCUAAUAUUCAUUUUCAUCUCUAGUUAUGUACUUGUCAGAGAGUUUCUCUGUAGGUAUUAAUUAUUUUGAGACGUUCCAUUCGAUAAGUUUCACAUACAUGAAAGAUUGCCUCUCUGAUAAUGAUAUGGUUGGUUUCUAAAGUUCUGUAAUUUGUUGUUACUAAAAUAUGCCAUUUGAUGGGAAUGGGAGAUUGAAAUUUAGAGAAGAUUUCUGGGCAGUUUUUACAUAUUUUCAAAUCAUUCGAACCAAAGUUGAGAAAAACUAAACAUAACCCAGGUGUUUUGGUUUGGUUUGGUUUAAAAUCUUGAUUUCUUUGCAACAUGUAUAUCAUUAUAAAAUAUUUUUAUACUUUAU